UACGGGGGGGGCAAGCGUUGUUCGGAAUUACUGGGCGUAAAGGGCUCGUAGGUGGCCAACUAAGUCAGACGUGAAAUCCCUCGGCUUAACCGGGGAACUGCGUCUGAUACUGGAUGGCUUGAGUUCGGGAGAGGGAUGCGGAAUUCCAGGUGUAGCGGUGAAAUGCGUAGAUAUCGGGAGGAACACCAGUGGCGAAGGCGACUUCCUGGCCUGUUCUUGACGCUGAGGCACGAAGGUCAGGGGAGCAAACGGG
RNAcentral lists this ribosomal RNA (253 nucleotides) under uncultured bacterium. RNAcentral describes it as "partial 16S ribosomal RNA". It matches the Rfam family "Bacterial small subunit ribosomal RNA", at positions 524 to 776 of the family's 1533-position model. The record is from RNAcentral.